This 508-nucleotide ribosomal RNA is filed under the name uncultured bacterium. RNAcentral's name for it is "partial 16S ribosomal RNA". It matches the Rfam family "Bacterial small subunit ribosomal RNA", at positions 28 to 507 of the family's 1533-position model. The record is from RNAcentral.
GACGAACGCUGGCGGCGUGCCUAAUACAUGCAAGUCGAACGCUUCUUUCCUCCCGAGUGCUUGCACUCAAUUGGAAAGAGGAGUGGCGGACGGGUGAGUAACACGUGGGUAACCUACCCAUCAGAGGGGGAUAACACUUGGAAACAGGUGCUAAUACCGCAUAACAGUUUAUGCCGCAUGGCAUAAGAGUGAAAGGCGCUUUCGGGUGUCGUUGAUGGAUGGACCCGCGGUGCAUUAGCUAGUUGGUGAGCUAACGGCUCACCAAGGCCACGAUGCAUAGCCGACCUGAGAGGGUGAUCGGCCACACUGGGACUGAGACACGGCCCAGACUCCUACGGGAGGCAGCAGUAGGGAAUCUUCGGCAAUGGACGAAAGUCUGACCGAGCAACGCCGCGUGAGUGAAGAAGGUUUUCGGAUCGUAAAACUCUGUUGUUAGAGAAGAACAAGGACGUUAGUAACUGAACGUCCCCUGACGGUAUCUAACCAGAAAGCCACGGCUAACUACGUG